CCCUGGCUCAGGACGAACGCUGGCGGCAUGCCUAAUACAUGCAAGUCGAGCGGACGUUUCAGAGAGCUUGCUCUUUGAAACGUUAGCGGCGGACGGGUGAGUAACACGUGGGCAACCUGCCCUACAGAUGGGGAUAACUCCGGGAAACCGGGGCUAAUACCGAAUAAUCAGUUGGUUCGCAUGAACCAACUCUGAAAGACGGUUUCGGCUGUCACUGUAGGAUGGGCCCGCGGCGCAUUAGCUAGUUGGUGGGGUAAUGGCCUACCAAGGCGACGAUGCGUAGCCGACCUGAGAGGGUGAUCGGCCACACUGGGACUGAGACACGGCCCAGACUCCUACGGGAGGCAGCAGUAGGGAAUCUUCCACAAUGGACGAAAGUCUGAUGGAGCAAUGCCGCGUGAGCGAAGAAGGUUUUCGGAUCGUAAAGCUCUGUUGUAAGGGAAGAACACGUACGGGAGUAACUGCCCGUACCUUGACGGUACCUUAUUAGAAAGCCACGGCUAA
RNAcentral lists this ribosomal RNA (504 nucleotides) under Sporosarcina sp. CL2.96. RNAcentral describes it as "bacterial SSU rRNA". It matches the Rfam family "Bacterial small subunit ribosomal RNA", at positions 17 to 500 of the family's 1533-position model. The record is from RNAcentral. Lineage: Bacteria; Bacillati; Bacillota; Bacilli; Caryophanales; Caryophanaceae.